This 497-nucleotide ribosomal RNA is filed under the name uncultured bacterium. Its description in RNAcentral is "partial 16S ribosomal RNA". It matches the Rfam family "Bacterial small subunit ribosomal RNA", at positions 28 to 507 of the family's 1533-position model. The record is from RNAcentral.
GAUGAACGCUGGCGGCGUGCCUAAUACAUGCAAGUCGAGCGAACGGACGAGAAGCUUGCUUCUCUGAUGUUAGCGGCGGACGGGUGAGUAACACGUGGAUAACCUACCUAUAAGACUGGGAUAACUUCGGGAAACCGUAGCUAAUACCGGAUAAUAUUUUGAACCGCAUGGUUCAAUAGUGAAAGACGGUCUUGCUGUCACUUAUAGAUGGAUCCGCGCUGCAUUAGCUAGUUGGUAAGGUAACGGCUUACCAAGGCAACGAUGCAUAGCCGACCUGAGAGGGUGAUCGGCCACACUGGAACUGAGACGCGGUCCAGACUCCUACGGGAGGCAGCAGUAGGGAAUCUUCCGCAAUGGGCGAAAGCCUGACGGAGCAACGCCGCGUGAGUGAUGAAGGUCUUCGGAUCGUAAAACUCUGUUAUUAGGGAAGAACAUAUGUGUAAGUAACUGUGCACAUCUUGACGGUACCUAAUCAGAAAGCCACGGCUAACUACGUG